AAAUUUAAAUAAUAAACUAGGAUUAGAUACCCUAUUAUUUUAAAUGUUAAUUAUAUUUACCAGGGUACUAUUAGUUAAGGUCUUUAAACCCAAAGAAUUUGGCGGUAUCUCAUUCCAUUCAGAGGAACCUACCCCGUGAUUGAUAAUACACGAUUAACUCUACUUAAUUUAUUUGUUUGUAUAUCUCCGUUAUCAGAUAAUCUUUUUAGAGUUAUAAUUCUCAAGAUUUAUAAUUAUAAAAUAUUUCAGGUCAAGGUGCAGCUUAUAGUUAAGAGGAGGUGGGUUACAAUAGGUUUUUGUUUAUAACGGAUUUGAUGGUGAAAUACUAUUAAUGAAGGUGGAUUUGAUAGUAAUUUAAUUUAUUUAAUUUAACUGAUAUUGGCUCUGAGGUGUGUACACAUCGCCCGUCGCUCUCAUUAUUGAUUAUUCUAUUUUAUUAUUUUAAGGUAGCUUCAACUAUAGAUGAGAUAAGUCGUAACAUAGUAGAUGUACUGGAAAGUGUAUCUAGUAAGAGUUU
RNAcentral lists this ribosomal RNA (517 nucleotides) under Schistocerca lineata (birdwing grasshopper). RNAcentral's name for it is "partial 12S ribosomal RNA". It matches the Rfam family "Microsporidia small subunit ribosomal RNA", at positions 638 to 1311 of the family's 1311-position model. The record is from RNAcentral. Lineage: Eukaryota; Metazoa; Arthropoda; Insecta; Orthoptera; Acrididae.